Molecule: ribosomal RNA, 528 nt
Filed under: uncultured bacterium
Lineage: Bacteria
Description: partial 16S ribosomal RNA
Rfam family: Bacterial small subunit ribosomal RNA
Source: RNAcentral
UGGGGAAUAUUGCACAAUGGGCGAAAGCCUGAUGCAGCAACGCCGCGUGAGUGAUGAAGGCCUUCGGGUUGNAAAGCUCUGUCUUUUGGGACGAUAAUGACGGUACCAAAGGAGGAAGCCACGGCUAACUACGUGCCAGCAGCCGCGGUAAUACGUAGGUGGCAAGCGUUGUCCGGAUUUACUGGGCGUAAAGGAUGCGUAGGCGGAUUUUUAAGUGAGAUGUGAAAACCCUAAGCUUAACUUGGGGACUGCAUUUCAUACUGGAAAUCUAGAGUGCGGGAGAGGAGAAUGGAAUUCCUAGUGUAGCGGUGAAAUGCGUAGAGAUUAGGAAGAACACCAGUGGCGAAGGCGAUUCUCUGGACCGUAACUGACGCUGAGGCAUGAAAGCGUGGGGUAGCAAACAGGGAUUAGAUACCCUGGUAGUCCACGCCGUAAACGAUGAGUACUAGGUGUAGGAGGUAUCGACCCCCUUCUGUGCCGCAGUUAACACAAUAAGUACUCCGCCUGGGGAAGUACGAUCGCAAGAUU